Non-coding RNA from Pelodiscus sinensis (Chinese soft-shelled turtle), 406 nucleotides. The record is from the annotation of a RefSeq genome assembly. NCBI's taxonomy places the organism in Eukaryota, Metazoa, Chordata, Testudines, Trionychidae.
UUUCUAACCACACAGCAGCAAGAUGAUCUCAGCCACUCCCCUGGCCUGGUUGCUGCUUUUCUGGAUUCAGGGUUGCAGUGCACAGACUGUGAUGACACAGACUCCGGAAUCUCUCUCAGUGUCUGUGGGAGACACCGUCACUAUCAAAUGCAAAGCCAGCGCAAGCAUUAGCAACAAUAUUAAUUGGUUCCAACAGAAGCCUGGACAGGCUCCCAAACUCCUUAUCUAUUAUACCAGCAACCGAUACACGGGUGUCCCAGACCGGUUCAGUGGCAGUGGGUCGGGCACUGACUACACUUUCACCAUCAGCAGAGUGGAAGCGGAUGAUGCUGGGGAUUAUUACUGCCUGCAGUAUAACAACUUCCCUCUCACAGUGAUACAGCCCAAUACAAAAACCUCCAUCUGA